This is a long non-coding RNA of Coregonus clupeaformis (lake whitefish), 312 nucleotides long. RefSeq lists it as uncharacterized. The record is from RefSeq and is a predicted model, not a curated record. The transcript is spliced from 3 exons. Lineage: Eukaryota; Metazoa; Chordata; Actinopteri; Salmoniformes; Salmonidae.
CAGAUGCGAGCUUCAACUGGAAGCCAGUGGAGUGUGCGGAGGAGCGGGGUGACGUGAGAGAACUUGGGAAAGUUGAACAGAGGGGAGAGGUGCGCUUGUGAAGUUGGAAAACAUUUUGUAUCUCCAGGCUCAAAGCAUCAGUCCACCAGCUGAACACUCAGUCAGACUGGUGAAUGGGACCACUUCCUGUUCUGGGAUUGUGGAAGUCUUCUACGGAGGAGAGUGGUCAGGUCUAUGUCCUGCGUGGUGGUGGGGCAUGAGAGAGGCUAAGGUUGUGUGUAGAGAGCUGGGCUGUGGGAAUGCUGUAGCUGA